AUGGUGGCGGUACCCGCGGUGAGGUUCCCGAUGUCCGGCCUCGUACGGCUGCUUGGCGUGGCCGCGGCAGCGGUCAUCGUCGUCUGGGCCGUCCACUUCCGCGGCGGUAUGGCGCUCUCCGCCGAGAAAGACAAGCUUCUCAUCUUCAACGUACACCCUGUGCUAAUGCUGAUUGGAUUGGUAGUCCUGAAUGGCGAAGCUCUUUUGGCGUACAAGACAGUGCCAGGAACCAAGAAACUGAAGAAGUUAGUACACAUUACAUUGCAGUUCCUUGCCAUGUUUUUGAGUCUAGUUGGCCUCUGGGCUGUCUGGAAGUUCCACGAUGAAAAAGAAAUUGACCACUUGUACACACUCCACUCCUGGUUGGGCCUUUCUUGCAUCAUCAUCUUCAGCUUGCAGUGGGCUGCUGGUUUUUUGACCUUCUGGUACCCUGGAGGAUCGAGAAGCGACAGAGCGUCCCUGCUCCCCUGGCAUGUGUUCUUGGGUGUAUUUCUCUAUGUUCUUGCCAUCGCCACAAGCGUGACUGGACUUCUGGAGAAGUCAAUCUUCAUGCAGAGUGCAAAAAUGAUCGGGCGCUUCUCCACAGAAGCGAUGCUGAUGAACUCACUGGGGAUGAUGCUGAUACUACUAGGAGCUCUUGUUAUUCUUGCUAUUUUUAACCCUGGAGCUGGCAAGAUUGACACGUACCGAGGUUCUUCAGAGUGA
RNAcentral lists this ribosomal RNA (705 nucleotides) under Triticum aestivum (bread wheat). Its description in RNAcentral is "partial small subunit ribosomal RNA". The record is from RNAcentral. Lineage: Eukaryota; Viridiplantae; Streptophyta; Magnoliopsida; Poales; Poaceae.